GUGGGGAAUAUUGGACAAUGGGCGCAAGCCUGAUCCAGCCAUACCGCGUGGGUGAAGAAGGCCUUCGGGUUGUAAAGCCCUUUUGUUGGGAAAGAAAUCCUAUCGGUUAAUAACCGGUGGGGAUGACGGUACCCAAAGAAUAAGCACCGGCUAACUUCGUGCCAGCAGCCGCGGUAAUACGAAGGGUGCAAGCGUUACUCGGAAUUACUGGGCGUAAAGCGUGCGUAGGUGGUGGUUUAAGUCCGUUGUGAAAGCCCUGGGCUCAACCUGGGAAUUGCAGUGGAUACUGGAUCACUAGAGUGUGGUAGAGGGAUGCGGAAUUUCUGGUGUAGCAGUGAAAUGCGUAGAGAUCAGAAGGAACAUCCGUGGCGAAGGCGGCAUCCUGGGCCAACACUGACACUGAGGCACGAAAGCGUGGGGAGCAAACAGGAUUAGAUACCCUAGUAGUCC
This 450-nucleotide ribosomal RNA is filed under the name uncultured bacterium. Its description in RNAcentral is "bacterial SSU rRNA". It matches the Rfam family "Bacterial small subunit ribosomal RNA", at positions 354 to 796 of the family's 1533-position model. The record is from RNAcentral.